UUAUUGUUAUGUUCGAGCUUUAACUAGGCCAUGCUAUGAUGGGAUCGGCAAAGGCUUUCUCGGUGUUGGUGGAAGCAAAGGCUCUCUGUGGACCACCUCUCUCGAUGAAAUAAAUCUGCAAGUGUAUUGACUAGCAAUCCACUGCUUUAUUCAUUAAUUAUCAGGGUUACUUUUGAUCACCCUCCUCAAAAUGAGGACAGAGCAGCUUUCAGAAAACCUAUUUGUCUCCCAUUAGGGUUUCUACCGAAACCUUUUGGCCCCAUGGCAGCUCAUCAUGCCCCCGGGAACCACCGGUCACCCAGAUUUCCCUCCCCACCAAUCAAGUUUUAUAUUAAGCUUCCUUGGUUGAUACUCGGAUUGUGUCAUAAGAUAUCUCUACUCUACACUAAUAUUUAAGAGCUGGGCCAAAUUAGUUUGACUCGGGAAGGAAUUUUGACCUGAAAUUCUAUGGUAUUUUAAUUUUGCUUCACUUUAUAAUGUCUAAACCGACCAGAUUUAAA
Long non-coding RNA from Populus euphratica (Euphrates poplar), 500 nucleotides. RefSeq lists it as uncharacterized. The transcript is spliced from 2 exons. The record is from RefSeq and is a predicted model, not a curated record. Lineage: Eukaryota; Viridiplantae; Streptophyta; Magnoliopsida; Malpighiales; Salicaceae.